GCGGACGGGUGAGUAACACGUGGGUAACCUGCCUGUAAGACUGGGAUAACUCCGGGAAACCGGGGCUAAUACCGGAUGGUUGUUUGAACCGCAUGGUUCAAACAUAAAAGGUGGCUUCGGCUACCACUUACAGAUGGACCCGCGGCGCAUUAGCUAGUUGGUGAGGUAACGGCUCACCAAGGCGACGAUGCGUAGCCGACCUGAGAGGGUGAUCGGCCACACUGGGACUGAGACACGGCCCAGACUCCUACGGGAGGCAGCAGUAGGGAAUCUUCCGCAAUGGACGAAAGUCUGACGGAGCAACGCCGCGUGAGUGAUGAAGGUUUUCGGAUCGUAAAGCUCUGUUGUUAGGGAAGAACAAGUACCGUUCGAAUAGGGCGGUACCUUGACGGUACCUAACCAGAAAGCCACGGCUAACUACGUGCCAGCAGCCGCGGUAAUACGUAGGUGGCAAGCGUUGUCCGGAAUUAUUGGGCGUAAAGGGCUCGCAGGCGGUUUCUUAAGUCUGAUGUGAAAGCCCCCGGCUCAACCGGGGAGGGUCAUUGGAAACUGGGGAACUUGAGUGCAGAAGAGGAGAGUGGAAUUCCACG
This 590-nucleotide ribosomal RNA is filed under the name Bacillus subtilis. RNAcentral describes it as "bacterial SSU rRNA". It matches the Rfam family "Bacterial small subunit ribosomal RNA", at positions 98 to 673 of the family's 1533-position model. Lineage: Bacteria; Bacillati; Bacillota; Bacilli; Caryophanales; Bacillaceae. The record is from RNAcentral.